RNAcentral lists this long non-coding RNA (628 nucleotides) under Nicotiana benthamiana. RNAcentral describes it as "long non-coding RNA (NBEN_LNC033735)". Lineage: Eukaryota; Viridiplantae; Streptophyta; Magnoliopsida; Solanales; Solanaceae. The record is from RNAcentral.
AAUAAUAACAGACCCAAGCUAUACAUCUAAUCAGUCAUAGAAUCACAAUAUACACGACCACCCCUUUUUGAUUUUCUUCGAGAGAGCAUAGAACAAAAGAGACCUUCAGUCUUUUGAACUUCUUUGGUCUCCAGCCAUCUUCCACCCCAAGAUCACGACAAGCAUGGACGAAAAUCUGGGCGGAAGAUCCAGGCCAAUUUUUGGUCAGAACUAGAAAAACGAGGCCCUGAGUUUAGCUUUUGAUUUCUUCGUCUUCUUCAGUUUUGUUGGUCUGAUUGUGAUCUCGGAUUCCAAUUCAAAAUAUAGAACAUAAGCAUUUUCAGCUUCUUCUUUGAGUUCUAAUUUUAAAAGAUGAGAUUAUCUGAGGCUGGAAGCUGAGUGAAGGUUGAUUCUGGUUCGAGUUCCCGUCGCCGGUUCGAGGCUCGCAUCAGUAGCCCGUAUCGCAUGUUUGGAAAUCUUCUUUCAUUAUAUACUAUGACAAUUUGCAGCAAUAGAGGUCCACCCUUCCAUUCUUUUAUUUACUUGUUGUUAGUGUAAUAAAUCUCAGCAUUGGAAGAGCUAUUUUGGGAUGAUUUUGAAUUAUAUGGUUAUAAUCAGGUUUGUUUUCUUGUGUUAGAACCUUGAGAUA